RNAcentral lists this unclassified non-coding RNA (235 nucleotides) under uncultured fungus. RNAcentral describes it as "sequence contains ITS2". The stretch from base 1 to 52 matches the Rfam family "5.8S ribosomal RNA", at positions 103 to 154 of the family's 154-position model. Lineage: Eukaryota; Fungi. The record is from RNAcentral.
AACGCACAUUGCGCCCCGUGGUAUUCCGCGGGGCAUGCCUGUUCGAGCGUCAUUUCAACUCUCAAGCACUGCUUGGUAUCGGGUACUAUCUGGUUAGGUAGGCCUUAGAAUUAGUGGCGAUGCUGUCUAGCUCUAAGCGUAGUAAUAUUUCUCGCUAUAGGUGUUAGGCGGUACUCAGCUAUAGUUCAUUUUUACAGUUGACCUCGGAUCAGGUAGGGAUACCCGCUGAACUUAA